UGCCAGCCGCCGCGGUAAUACGGAGGGGGUUAGCGUUGUUCGGAAUUACUGGGCGUAAAGCGCACGUAGGCGGAUUGGAAAGUUGGGGGUGAAAUCCCGGGGCUCAACCCCGGAACUGCCUCCAAAACUAUCAGUCUAGAGUUCGAGAGAGGUGAGUGGAAUUCCAAGUGUAGAGGUGAAAUUCGUAGAUAUUUGGAGGAACACCAGUGGCGAAGGCGGCUCACUGGCUCGAUACUGACGCUGAGAUGCGAAGGCAUGGGUAGCAAACGGGAUUAGAUA
RNAcentral lists this ribosomal RNA (279 nucleotides) under uncultured bacterium. Its description in RNAcentral is "partial 16S ribosomal RNA". It matches the Rfam family "Bacterial small subunit ribosomal RNA", at positions 506 to 784 of the family's 1533-position model. The record is from RNAcentral.